CCAGACUCCUACGGGAGGCAGCAGUGAGGAAUAUUGGUCAAUGGGCGGGAGCCUGAACCAGCCAAGCCGCGUGAGGGAAGAAGGUACAGCGUAUCGUAAACCUCUUUUGUCAGGGAACAAAGGCGGGGACUAGUCCCCGGAUGAGGGUACCUGAAGAAAAAGCAUCGGCUAACUCCGUGCCAGCAGCCGCGGUAAUACGGAGGGUGCGAGCGUUAAUCGGAAUUACUGGGCGUAAAGCGCUCGUAGGCGGUAUGUCAAGUCAAGGGUGAAAUCCCCGCGCUCAACGUGGGAACUGCCUUUGAAACUGGCAAACUGGAGUGUGUGAGAGGAUAGUGGAAUUCCAGGUGUAGGAGUGAAAUCCGUAGAUAUCUGGAGGAACAUCAGUGGCGAAGGCGACUAUCUGGCACAUAACUGACGCUGAGGAGCGAAAGCGUGGGUAGCAAACAGGAUUAGAUACCCCGGUA
RNAcentral lists this ribosomal RNA (464 nucleotides) under uncultured bacterium. RNAcentral describes it as "bacterial SSU rRNA". It matches the Rfam family "Bacterial small subunit ribosomal RNA", at positions 331 to 792 of the family's 1533-position model. The record is from RNAcentral.